This 21-nucleotide non-coding RNA is filed under the name Caenorhabditis elegans. Lineage: Eukaryota; Metazoa; Nematoda; Chromadorea; Rhabditida; Rhabditidae. The record is from RNAcentral.
UAAAAGUGUUGUUGAUCUGUA